Molecule: non-coding RNA, 29 nt
Filed under: Cricetulus griseus (Chinese hamster)
Lineage: Eukaryota; Metazoa; Chordata; Mammalia; Rodentia; Cricetidae
Source: RNAcentral
AUGUAUGAUGACGGAACUUUUUUCCCCAU